GAUGAAGAACGUAGCGAAAUGCGAUAAGUAAUGUGAAUUGCAGAAUUCAGUGAAUCAUCGAAUCUUUGAACGCACAUUGCGCCCGUCAGUAUUCUGGCGGGCAUGCCUGUUCGAGCGUCAUUACGCCCCUCAAGUCCCCUGUGGACUUGGUGUUGGGGAUCGGCGAGGCUGGUUUUCCAGCACAGCCGUCCCUUAAAUUAAUUGGCGGUCUCGCCGUGGCCCUCCUCUGCGCAGUAGUAAAACACUCGCAACAGGAGCCCGGCGGGUCCACUGCCGUAAAACCCCCCAACUUUUUAUAGUUGACCUCGAAUCAGGUAGGACUACCCGCUGAACUUAAGCAUAUCAAUAAGCGGAGGA
Molecule: unclassified non-coding RNA, 357 nt
Filed under: soil metagenome
Description: partial contains 5.8S ribosomal RNA, internal transcribed spacer 2, and large subunit ribosomal RNA
Rfam family: 5.8S ribosomal RNA (bases 1-120)
Source: RNAcentral